UGGCUCAGUGGUUAAGAGCUUGGCUGUUAACCAAAGAUCGGUAGUUCGAAUCUACC
Molecule: transfer RNA, 56 nt
Filed under: Loxodonta africana (African savanna elephant)
Lineage: Eukaryota; Metazoa; Chordata; Mammalia; Proboscidea; Elephantidae
Rfam family: tRNA
About the family: Transfer RNA (tRNA) molecules are approximately 80 nucleotides in length.
Source: Rfam by way of RNAcentral